This is a long non-coding RNA of Daktulosphaira vitifoliae (grape phylloxera), 484 nucleotides long. RefSeq lists it as uncharacterized. The record is from RefSeq and is a predicted model, not a curated record. NCBI's taxonomy places the organism in Eukaryota, Metazoa, Arthropoda, Insecta, Hemiptera, Phylloxeridae. The transcript has 3 exons.
GACAUCGAGCUUAGAUAAGCAAUUUUACUCCGGUUGGGUUGUCGAGUUCGAGCUGCGUUAUGCGUUUUCUCUUCAGUACACAUUACAAUCUUUGGUAGAAGCACAGAGAUGAUAGAAGGUCAACUAAUUCGCUUUAUUAUCUAUACUGGUGACACAGCUGUCAAUCACGAAUAUAGGAAUGAUAAUCUGAGUCCUCCGUAACAUGAUGACUUUGAGCAUAAUAUGUAAUAGGUAAAGUUGAAUGAAUUGGAAAUAAGCUAAUGGAUAUCACAAUUUUUUAGCAGUGAGAGUUAAUAAAAAAUGAGAAAUAAUAUAUUAUAUAUAUAUUGUAAGAAACACUGAAUUUUUCGGUUAAAAUUCUUGUGAUUACAUUUCUAUUAGUUUAAAAAUUAAUUUUUCAAAAUUUAUCAAAACUGUAUUAUUUUUGCAUUAUAGGGACAAAAAUCUUUGGCGAUGUAUUUUGUAUGUAAAUAAUUACGAAUAU